Molecule: ribosomal RNA, 534 nt
Filed under: Paramoeba aestuarina
Lineage: Eukaryota; Discosea; Flabellinia; Dactylopodida; Paramoebidae
Description: partial Bacterial large subunit ribosomal RNA
Rfam family: Bacterial large subunit ribosomal RNA
Source: RNAcentral
GAGUGAAGCGGCGGGGUGACCCAGCCGUGGACGCGACACGAGUGAGAAUGCAGGCAUGAGUAGCGAAAGACGUGUGAGAAACACGUCCUCCGAAAGACCAAGGGUUCCAGGGUCAAGCUAAUCUUCCCUGGGUAAGUCGGGACCUAAGGCGAGGCCGACAGGCGUAGUCGAUGGACAACGGGUUGAUAUUCCCGUACCGGCGAAGAACCGCCCAAGCUAAUCCAGUGGUGCUAAGAGUCCUAGCAUGGAAUGUUUCGGAUCCCUUCGGGGUGAUGUGCGUCUGUGUGAACGCUCGACCCCAUGCUGGUGCGGCUAGCGUAUUAACAGGUGUGACGCAGGAAGGUAGCCCAAGCCAGGCGAUGGUAGUCCUGGUGCAAGUGCGUAGGCCGAGUGAUAGGCAAAUCCGUCACUCAUUGAGGCUGAGACACGAUGCGGAUAAAAAGUGGGUGAUCCUAUGCUGCCGAGAAAAGCAUCGACGCGAGGUUCUAGCCGCCCGUACCCCAAACCGACUCAGGUGGUCAGGUAGAGAAUACC